RNAcentral lists this ribosomal RNA (378 nucleotides) under uncultured bacterium. RNAcentral's name for it is "bacterial SSU rRNA". It matches the Rfam family "Bacterial small subunit ribosomal RNA", at positions 790 to 1167 of the family's 1533-position model. The record is from RNAcentral.
GUAGUCCACCCCGUAAACGUUGGGAACUAGUUGUGGGGGCCUUUCCACGGUCUCCGUGACGCAGCUAACGCAUUAAGUUCCCCGCCUGGGGAGUACGGCCGCAAGGCUAAAACUCAAAGGAAUUGACGGGGACCCGCACAAGCGGCGGAGCAUGCGGAUUAAUUCGAUGCAACGCGAAGAACCUUACCAAGGCUUGACAUACACCGGAAACGUCCAGAGAUGGUCGCCCCUUUUUGGUCGGUGUACAGGUGGUGCAUGGUUGUCGUCAGCUCGUGUCGUGAGAUGUUGGGUUAAGUCCCGCAACGAGCGCAACCCUCGUUCUAUGUUGCCAGCACGUUAUGGUGGGAACUCAUGGGAUACUGCCGGGGUCAACUCGGA